UACGUAGGGACCAAGCGUUGUCCGGAAUCAUUGGGCGUAAAGAGCGUGUAGGCGGCUUGUUAAGUCUUGCGUGAAAUCUCGGGGCUCAACCCCGAGCGGUCGUGAGAAACUGGCAGGCUAGAGUGCGGGAGAGGAGAGUGGAAUUCCUGGUGUAGCGGUGAAAUGCGCAGAUAUCAGGAGGAACACCAAUUGCGAAGGCAGCUCGCUGGGACGUUACUGACGCUGAGACGCGAAAGCGUGGGGAGCAAACAGG
This 253-nucleotide ribosomal RNA is filed under the name uncultured bacterium. Its description in RNAcentral is "partial 16S ribosomal RNA". It matches the Rfam family "Bacterial small subunit ribosomal RNA", at positions 524 to 776 of the family's 1533-position model. The record is from RNAcentral.